GCCUGGGUAGCUCAGUUGGCAGAGCAUCAGACUCUUAAUCUGAGAGUCUAGGGUUCCAGUUCCUAUUCAGGUG
Molecule: transfer RNA, 73 nt
Filed under: Loxodonta africana (African savanna elephant)
Lineage: Eukaryota; Metazoa; Chordata; Mammalia; Proboscidea; Elephantidae
Rfam family: tRNA
About the family: Transfer RNA (tRNA) molecules are approximately 80 nucleotides in length.
Source: Rfam by way of RNAcentral